Molecule: long non-coding RNA, 587 nt
Filed under: Homo sapiens (human)
Lineage: Eukaryota; Metazoa; Chordata; Mammalia; Primates; Hominidae
Description: HSALNT0356907
Source: RNAcentral
UGGGAUUAUAGGCAUGAGCCACCAUGCCCGGCCCAAUAUCAACAUUCUGAACAUCAGCCUUUGUACUGAGUGAUAAUACAGCAACGCUGUCAAGGCCCACUGGGAGAACAAAGAGAGGUGGAUCCCAGGAGGCAGCCAGGGGAUGCAAGGAGCCAACAUGCCAUCAGAGAGGGGUGAAGAGAUAAGGUCCCAAGGAAAGCUAUUGGAAAGCUUUCUACCAAAAGGGAGAUCAAGGACCACAGAGCACAUCCUGAAAGACAAGUUUGGGGAGUCAGAAGAAGCUCAUUUGUUUGCUUGGAUGGCUGAAACAUGGACCAAAAAGGUUACCCACAGUAAACGAACUUGAAAUGCCAGAACUACCCUGGUUACUCUAGAGGAAGGGAUUGACAAGCUUAUGGAGAAAGAAGAGUUGGCGUGAAUUUAUCAUUUCAGAUCUGCGCAUCCACCCUGGAACACUUUUUUCCAUAUCUGUGAGAAAUAAAUGUGUGAGGAGAGCCCUACCAACCUUGAAGAGUUCUGGGGUCACUCUCUCACUAGGCAAGAACUUAUAGUGGGAGCUGCUGUCACUGAAUUGGGAAACCUACAUU